GACUCAAGUUUCACAUGGUCUUGAAAAAAAGUUUGGGCUCGACUCGAAAAGUUUCAGAUGGUCUCUUAAAAAAUUAAAAAAAAAUUCUGAUUGUCUUCAAAAAAAGUUUUAUGUCGGCUCGAAAAGUUUCAGAUAUCCUUCAAAAAAAGUUUUAAAUCGUCUUCAAUAAAAGUUUUAUGUGGAUUCAAAAAGUUUAAGAUGGUCUUUAAAGUUUCAGACGGGCACAAAAGGUUUUAGCUGGACUCGCCAGCGAAAAGUUUCGGAUGGACUCAAAAAGUAUUAGAUGGUCUUUAAAAAGUUUUAUUUGGAUUCGAGAAGUUUCAGAUGGUCUCUAAAACAAAUUUCAGACGGACACGAAAGUUUUAUGUGGGUUGUGAAAGUUUUAUGUGGGUUGAGAAAGUUUUAAAUGGACACGAAGAGUAUUAGGUGGUCUUCUGGAAAAUUUUAGGUGGGACUCCGAAAGUUUUAGAAGAUUUUAUUAAAAAAUAAAAAAUAAAAAAAA
Leucoraja erinaceus (little skate) is the source of this 502-nucleotide long non-coding RNA. RefSeq lists it as uncharacterized. Lineage: Eukaryota; Metazoa; Chordata; Chondrichthyes; Rajiformes; Rajidae. The transcript is spliced from 2 exons. The record is from RefSeq and is a predicted model, not a curated record.